RNAcentral lists this transfer RNA (75 nucleotides) under Bacteroidetes bacterium OLB10. RNAcentral describes it as "tRNA-Arg". It matches the Rfam family "tRNA". From Rfam's summary of the family: Transfer RNA (tRNA) molecules are approximately 80 nucleotides in length. Their secondary structure includes four short double-helical elements and three loops (D, anti-codon, and T loops). RNAcentral also lists the same sequence under 2 other names. Lineage: Bacteria; Pseudomonadati; Bacteroidota. The record is from RNAcentral.
GGUUCCGUAGCUUAACUGAAUAGAGCAUCUGACUACGGAUCAGAAGGUUGGGGGUUUGAAUCCCUCCGGGACCAC